UAAUCUCUUCAGGGCGGGGUGGAAGUCCCCACCGGUGGUGACAGCCCACGAACCAAUUUCGCUUGGUAAGAUCUGGUGUGAAUCCAGAGCCGACGGUAUAGUCCGGAUGAAAGAAGAGUGGA
Molecule: regulatory RNA element, 122 nt
Organism: Dialister sp. CAG:357
Lineage: Bacteria; Bacillati; Bacillota; Negativicutes; Veillonellales; Veillonellaceae
Rfam family: FMN riboswitch aptamer (RFN element)
About the family: The RFN element is a highly conserved domain that is found frequently in the 5'-untranslated regions of prokaryotic mRNAs that encode for flavin mononucleotide (FMN) biosynthesis and transport proteins.
Source: Rfam